UGGUUCUGGCAUCGAUGAAGAACGCAGCGAAAUGCGAUAAGUAAUGUGAAUUGCAGAAUUCAGUGAAUCAUCGAAUCUUUGAACGCACAUUGCGCCCAUUAGUAUUCUAGUGGGCAUGCCUGUUCGAGCGUCAUUUCAACCUUUAGAUAUUCUUAUCUAAUGUUAAGAGAUGUGAUUUCUUUUAUGGAUUUACACUCUAAAAAUAUAAUGGCAGAAACAACGUCAGCUAAAGCGUAGUAAUUCUCUCGCUUCUGGUUAGCUUUGUGAUCUAGCCCAAACAAAACAUCAGGUUGACCUCGAAUCAGGUAGGAAUACCCGCUGA
Molecule: unclassified non-coding RNA, 322 nt
Filed under: uncultured fungus
Lineage: Eukaryota; Fungi
Description: partial contains 5.8S ribosomal RNA and internal transcribed spacer 2
Rfam family: 5.8S ribosomal RNA (bases 1-133)
Source: RNAcentral